Molecule: ribosomal RNA, 475 nt
Filed under: Fangensis spelaeus
Lineage: Eukaryota; Metazoa; Arthropoda; Arachnida; Opiliones; Stylocellidae
Description: partial 16S ribosomal RNA
Rfam family: Bacterial large subunit ribosomal RNA
Source: RNAcentral
UUCUUAGCGGAAGGGUGUUAAGUAGGCCCUGCUCAAUGAAAAUUAAAUAGCUGUUUGGACACUAAGGUAGCAUAAUAAAUUGUUUCUUAAUUAGAAACUGGAAUGAAGGGGUUCAUGGGGGAAAUUUUUCUUUACAUUAAAAUUUGAAUUUAAAUUUGUAGUAAAAAUGCUAUAAUGAGAUUUAGGGACGAGAAGACCCUAUAAAGCUUUAUAGAUUUGUGAUAUAUGUUUAUUGAAAAUUUAUUUUAUUGGGGCAAUGUCUUAAGAUUUAAUUUAAGAAUAAUUUUUAAUUAAAAGUUAUGAAUAAUGAGCCAUAAAUUAUGAGUAUUAGAAAAAGUUACUUUAGGGAUAACAGCAUAAUUUAAGUUGGAAAGUUCAAAUUGAUAAUUUAGGUUAUGACCUCGAUGUUGAAUCAAUAGAUCUUCUAGGUGAAGGAAUUUAGGGAGAAAGUCUGUUCGACUUUUAAAAUAUUACG